Molecule: long non-coding RNA, 1144 nt
Filed under: Pelusios castaneus (West African mud turtle)
Lineage: Eukaryota; Metazoa; Chordata; Testudines; Pelomedusidae
Description: lncRNA (ENSPCEG00000015720.1)
Source: RNAcentral
CUUGUGAGGCGUGAGAGGUCACACAAGUGCCUGGAGUCACCUGCCCGCAUCUCAGCCCUGUCUCUGCCUGGCUGGGCAGGAGCCAGCAGUGCUGAGCGGGGAACGGUUGUGUUGCAGGUGCCGGUGGCCUUUGAGGACGUGGCCGUCUAUUUCUCCCCGGAGGAGUGGGCGCAGUUAGCGGAAUGGCAGCGGGAGCUGUACCGGGACGUGAUGAUGGAGAAUUACGAGCUGGUGGCCUCGCUGGGUGAGGAUCCCCUUAUCAGCCGGAGCAGCAGCGUCUCUGGUACCCCUAGGCUGGUGUUACGAGAGCUCCAAGGCCCGUGCUGUUGGGGAUGGGGACUGACGUGUGCCAGGGACUGUGGCACGUGGCCGAGUGCAGGAGACGGAGCUGCUCCGUGGUGGGGCGUUCUGGGUCUGGGUGGUAGAUCCGUCAUGCUCAGCUCCCCGUUCGUUGGUGCCAUCCCAGCUGGGGUUUGCUGACAGGUGGGGGGUGCAGCAGGAGUAGUCGGGGAGAAGGCAUGUCCACUCACCGUGUGCCUUUUCACCCCACUGGACCAGCUCCUGCAGGCUCAGCACUGGCUGGUGAGAACAGUUCCUCUCUGCCAGGCGUCUCUCCCGGGAGCCGCUGCCUCUGCGGAGUUCCCCUAUGCUGGAGCUGGCGAAGGAUGCAGAGGCAGCCGUGAUGGGCGUGUGCCAUGGAUGGGCGUGUGCCAUGUACCAGCUGCCUACUCACUCCCAUGUGCCAUCAAAGGGGCUGGGAGCUGCCUGGGACCCACUGUCUGAAAGGCAGCCUGCACCCUGGCCUGGGAGUUACUGGCUGGGGGCUGCUUGCAUUAGUGUGGGCCAGAGAAACCCCUAUCACUGGUCAUGGCUGUCUCAGCCAGGCCCCAGGAUGCUGUACGUGUUCUCUUGCCCAGGAACAGGCUCUGCGGGCCCCAAGCUCAAGGCGUCUGCUAAAAAAGUGAAGCGGGAGAAGGCGCCGUAUGUCUGGGACCAUCAAUACUCGAGAGCCAAAGUCCUGAUGCUUCCAGUGCAGGCAGACGAUACCCCAAACCAGGCUGUCAGCAGGCUGAGGGACACGGCCCGUGGGGCUGGGAGGUGUUCAGUGAGGCUGUUCUGCAUUGCAGGAGCUGGUGACCUUUGA